RNAcentral lists this unclassified non-coding RNA (381 nucleotides) under Hevea brasiliensis (rubber tree). The record is from RNAcentral. Lineage: Eukaryota; Viridiplantae; Streptophyta; Magnoliopsida; Malpighiales; Euphorbiaceae.
UUUGAACGGCUAGUUGCAAAGACAACUCAAUUGGAAGGUGAAAAAAUGCAGAAAGAGGCAGAAGUUCAAAAACUUAUGGAAGAGAAUGUGAGGCUGAGUGCUCUUCUGGACAAGAAGGAGGCUCAACUUCUGGCCAUGAAUGAACAGUGCAAGGUAAUGGCGCUGAAUGCUUCAAAUUUAUGAUUUGUUGGGCUAUCUUAUUCGACCUUCUGGUGACGGUUGAUUCAUUCAAGCCGAAUUGUGAAUCCACCAGAGAAGAGUCGGGAAUUGAGUAAUACUGAAUUGUGGAGUAUCUUCAAUCAUUUUGCAAAUUUUUAACAUUGUGAAGAGCUAAAUGAACAUGUUUAUUAGUACCAUUCUUGUGCUGUUGGAAAACUCGAG